ACAAUGGAGAGUUUGAUCCUGGCUCAGGAUGAACGCUAGCUACAGGCUUAACACAUGCAAGUCGAGGGGAAACGAUAGAGAAAGCUUGCUUUUUCUAGGCGUCGACCGGCGCACGGGUGAGUAACGCGUAUCCAACCUGCCCAUCACUUGGGGAUAACCUUGCGAAAGUAAGACUAAUACCCAAUGAUAUCUCAAGAAGACAUCUGAAUGAGAUUAAAGAUUUAUCGGUGAUGGAUGGGGAUGCGUCUG
This 249-nucleotide ribosomal RNA is filed under the name Salmonella enterica subsp. enterica serovar Kentucky. RNAcentral describes it as "partial 16S ribosomal RNA". It matches the Rfam family "Bacterial small subunit ribosomal RNA", at positions 1 to 239 of the family's 1533-position model. The record is from RNAcentral. Lineage: Bacteria; Pseudomonadati; Pseudomonadota; Gammaproteobacteria; Enterobacterales; Enterobacteriaceae.